This 144-nucleotide ribosomal RNA is filed under the name Thrips hawaiiensis. Its description in RNAcentral is "partial 18S ribosomal RNA". It matches the Rfam family "Eukaryotic small subunit ribosomal RNA", at positions 1692 to 1831 of the family's 1831-position model. Lineage: Eukaryota; Metazoa; Arthropoda; Insecta; Thysanoptera; Thripidae. The record is from RNAcentral.
AAUGUUUUAGUGAGGUCUUCGGACUGGCGCGCGGGGCUCUUUCGGGAGCGCCGAUGUCGUCGGAAAGAUGACCAAACUUGAAUAUUUAGAGGAAGUAAAAGUCGUAACAAGGUUGCUGUAGGUGAACCUGCAGCAGGAUCAUUA